AUUAAGACUCUCAGCAACGGAUAUCUCGGCUCUUACAUCGAUGAAGAACGUAGCGAAAUGCGAUACUUGGUGUGAAUUGCAGAAUCCCGUGAACCAUCGAGUCUUUGAACGCAAGUUGCGCCCGAGGCCUUCGGGUCGAGGGCACGCCUGCCUGGGCGUCACGC
RNAcentral lists this ribosomal RNA (164 nucleotides) under Gagea bohemica. RNAcentral's name for it is "5.8S ribosomal RNA". It matches the Rfam family "5.8S ribosomal RNA". Rfam says of the family: 5.8S ribosomal RNA (5.8S rRNA) is a component of the large subunit of the eukaryotic ribosome. It is transcribed by RNA polymerase I as part of the 45S precursor that also contains 18S and 28S rRNA. Lineage: Eukaryota; Viridiplantae; Streptophyta; Magnoliopsida; Liliales; Liliaceae. The record is from RNAcentral.